This 492-nucleotide ribosomal RNA is filed under the name uncultured bacterium. Its description in RNAcentral is "partial 16S ribosomal RNA". It matches the Rfam family "Bacterial small subunit ribosomal RNA", at positions 30 to 507 of the family's 1533-position model. The record is from RNAcentral.
AGUGAACGCUGGCGGUAGGCCUAACACAUGCAAGUCGAACGGCAGCACAGUAUGAGCUUGCUCUUACGGGUGGCGAGUGGCGUACGGGUGAGGAAUACAUCGGAAUCUACUUUUUCGUGGGGGAUAACGUAGGGAAACUUACGCUAAUACCGCAUACGACCUACGGGUGAAAGCAGGGGAUCUUCGGACCUUGCGCGAUUGAAUGAGCCGAUGUCGGAUUAGCUAGUUGGCGGGGUAAAGGCCCACCAAGGCGACGAUCCGUAGAUGGUCUGAGAGGAUGAUCAGCCAGACGGGAAGAGAGACAGGGUCCAGACACCGACGGGAGGCAGCAGUGGGGAAUAUUGGACAAGGGGGGAAAGCAGGAUACAGCAAAACGGCGUGGGUGAAGAAGGAGUUAGGGUUGUAAAGCCAUGUUGUUGGGAAAGAAAAGAAGCAGGUUAAGACGGCGCUGUAAUGACGGUACCCAAAGAAGAAGCACCGGCUAACUACGUG